UCCGUAGGUGAACCUGCGGAAGGAUCAUUACCAAUUCAACGGUGUGGUCGCGGCCUCCGGGGGCUCCCCCCGGGCGGUAGAGGUAACACUCUUACGCGCCACAUGUCUGAAUCCUUUUUUUACGAGCACCUUUCGUUCUCCUUCGGUGGGGCAACCUGCCGUUGGAACUUAUCAAAACCUUUUUUUGCAUCUAGCAUUACCUGUUCAGAUACAAACAAUCGUUACAACUUUCAACAAUGGAUCUCUUGGCUCUGGCAUCGAUGAAGAACGCAGCGAAAUGCGAUAAGUAGUGUGAAUUGCAGAAUUCAGUGAAUCAUCGAAUCUUUGAACGCACAUUGCGCCCCUUGGUAUUCCAUGGGGCAUGCCUGUUCGAGCGUCAUCUACACCCUCAAGCUCUGCUUGGUGUUGGGCGUCUGUCCCGCCUCUGCGCGUGGACUCGCCCCAAAUUCAUUGGCAGCGGUCUUUGCCUCCUCUCGCGCAGCACAUUGCGCUUCAGAGGGGUGUGGGCCGCGUCCACGAAGCAACAUUAUCGUCUUUGACCUCGGAUCAGGUAGGGAUACCCGCUGAACUUAAGCAUAUCAAUAAGCGGAGGAAAAGAAACCAACAGGGAUUGCCCUAGUAACGGCGAGUGAAGCGGCAACAGCUCAAAUUUGAAAUCUGGCUCUCUUUGGGGGUCCGAGUUGUAAUUUGCAGAGGAUGCUUUGGCAUUGGCGGCGGUCUAAGUUCCUUGGAACAGGACAUCGCAGAGGGUGAGAAUCCCGUACGUGGGCGCCUGCCUUUGCCGUGUAAAGCUCCUUCGACGAGUCGAGUUGUUUGGGAAUGCAGCUCUAAAUGGGAGGUAAAUUUCUUCUAAAGCUAAAUACCGGCCAGAGACCGAUAGCGCACAAGUAGAGUGAUCGAAAGAUGAAAAGUACUUUGGAAAGAGAGUCAAAAAGCACGUGAAAUUGUUGAAAGGGAAGCGCUUGCAGCCAGACUUGCCCGCAGUUGCUCACCUAGGCUUUGGCCUGGGGCACUCUUCUGCGGGCAGGCCAGCAUCAGUUUGGGGGUCGGACAAAGGCCUCUGUCAAGUAUCUCCCUUCGGGGUGACCUUAUAGGGGAGGCGUAAUGCGACCAGCCCGGACUGAGGUCCGCGCAUCUGCUAGGAUGCUGGCGUAAUGGCUGUAAGCGGCCCGUCU
RNAcentral lists this ribosomal RNA (1175 nucleotides) under Pleosporales sp. P30043SNACC1007. RNAcentral describes it as "eukaryotic LSU rRNA". The stretch from base 537 to 1175 matches the Rfam family "Eukaryotic large subunit ribosomal RNA", at positions 1 to 654 of the family's 3401-position model. The record is from RNAcentral. Lineage: Eukaryota; Fungi; Ascomycota; Dothideomycetes; Pleosporales.